RNAcentral lists this transfer RNA (56 nucleotides) under Ictidomys tridecemlineatus (thirteen-lined ground squirrel). Its description in RNAcentral is "Spermophilus tridecemlineatus (thirteen-lined ground squirrel) tRNA". It matches the Rfam family "tRNA", at positions 9 to 63 of the family's 71-position model. From Rfam's summary of the family: Transfer RNA (tRNA) molecules are approximately 80 nucleotides in length. Their secondary structure includes four short double-helical elements and three loops (D, anti-codon, and T loops). Further hydrogen bonds mediate the characteristic L-shaped molecular structure. tRNAs have two regions of fundamental functional importance: the anti-codon, which is responsible for specific mRNA codon recognition, and the 3' end, to which the tRNAs corresponding amino acid is attached (by aminoacyl-tRNA synthetases). tRNAs cope with the degeneracy of the genetic code in two manners: having more than one tRNA (with a specific anti-codon) for a particular amino acid; and 'wobble' base-pairing, i.e. permitting non-standard base-pairing at the 3rd anti-codon position. The record is from Rfam by way of RNAcentral. Lineage: Eukaryota; Metazoa; Chordata; Mammalia; Rodentia; Sciuridae.
GGCUCAUUGGUAGAGCACAUGCAUAGUAUGCUUGAGGUCCUGGGUUCAAUCCCCAG